RNAcentral lists this ribosomal RNA (444 nucleotides) under uncultured bacterium. Its description in RNAcentral is "bacterial SSU rRNA". It matches the Rfam family "Bacterial small subunit ribosomal RNA", at positions 29 to 507 of the family's 1533-position model. The record is from RNAcentral.
AACGAAUACUGGCAGUGUGCCUUAAGCAUGCAAGUCGAACGAUGCUGUGAAUAACAGUAUAGUGGCGAACGGGUGCGUAACACGUAGUCAGCUGACCCAAAGACGGGAAUAGCCUCAAGAGAUUGGGGGUAAUGCCCGAUGAGCCCUAAGGGGGAAACGCUCAAUGCGCUCUGGGAGGUGACUGCGGCCCAUCAGGUAGUUGGCGGGGUAAAAGCCCACCAAGCCUAUGACGGGUAGCCGGCCUGAGAGGGUGUCCGGCCACACUGGGACUGAGACACGGCCCAGACUCCUACGGGAGGCAGCAGCUAGGAAUUUUCCGCAAUGGGCGAAAGCCUGACGGAGCGACACUGCGUUGAGGAUUGAAGGCCCCACGGGGUUGUAAACUCAUUUUAAGCUAGAAGAGAGAGGACUGUAUAGCUGGAAUAAGCCCCGGCAAACUACGUG